UGGACGUUACUCGCAGAAUAAGCACCGGCUAACUCUGUGCCAGCAGCCGCGGUAAUACAGAGGGUGCAAGCGUUAAUCGGAUUUACUGGGCGUAAAGCGCGCGUAGGUGGCCAAUUAAGUCAAAUGUGAAAUCCCCGAGCUUAACUUGGGAAUUGCAUUCGAUACUGGUUGGCUAGAGUAUGGGAGAGGAUGGUAGAAUUCCAGGUGUAGCGGUGAAAUGCGUAGAGAUCUGGAGGAAUACCGAUGGCGAAGGCAGCCAUCUGGCCUAAUACUGACACUGAGGUGCGAAAGCAUGGGGAGCAAACAGGAUUAGAUACCCUGGUAGUCCAUGCCGUAAACGAUGUCUACUAGCCGUUGGGGCCUUUGAGGCUUUAGUGGCGCAGCUAACGCGAUAAGUAGACCGCCUGGGGAGUACGGUCGCAAGACUAAAACUCAAAUGAAUUGACGGGGGCCCGCACAAGCGGUGGAGCAUGUGGUUUAAUUCGAUGCNACGCGAAGAACCUUACCUGGUCUNGACAUAGUA
Molecule: ribosomal RNA, 523 nt
Filed under: bacterium E-1-0-2B
Lineage: Bacteria
Description: bacterial SSU rRNA
Rfam family: Bacterial small subunit ribosomal RNA
Source: RNAcentral